GCCCACAUGAAGUUGGAGUUGCUAGUAAUCGCGGAUCAGAAUGCCGCGGUGAAUACGUUCCCGGGCCUUGUACACACCGCCCGUCACACCAUGGGAGUUGGGAGCACCCGAAGCCGGUGAGCUGACCGCAAGGAGGCAGCCGUCGAAGGUGAGACCGAUGACUGGGGUGAAGUCGUAACAAGGUAUC
RNAcentral lists this ribosomal RNA (187 nucleotides) under uncultured bacterium. Its description in RNAcentral is "partial 16S ribosomal RNA". It matches the Rfam family "Bacterial small subunit ribosomal RNA", at positions 1314 to 1500 of the family's 1533-position model. The record is from RNAcentral.